This is a long non-coding RNA of Patella vulgata (common limpet), 896 nucleotides long. RefSeq lists it as uncharacterized. Lineage: Eukaryota; Metazoa; Mollusca; Gastropoda; Patellidae. The record is from RefSeq and is a predicted model, not a curated record. The transcript has 7 exons.
CGACUGGCCAGCAAAAUGUACUUUUCAGAAUAAGGAACGCGUCUCUCCGUCUUUCUUAGCUCCGAUGGUGAAGAAAACUGAGACGUUAGUUAAUCCCCAUUUUAUUUCAAAAAUAUGGAUAUUCUUGAAACUGUAAGAAAGGGCUACCACCAACAGGGAGCAGCAUAUGAGGCUUAUAGGCCUGGCUAUUCUGAUGAGACUGUAGACUUUGUAUUAGAUAUGGUGAGAAAAGUGGAAAUACCAUCUCAGCAAGAAAAUACCAUCAAGUAUGAUAUAGUUGAACUUGGAGCGGGUACUGGUAAAUUUAGUAGAAAACUGUUAAGUAAAAUAAAGCAAGAGAAGUUCCUGGUAACUGAGCCAUUAGUGGAAUUUCUGGAGACGUUGAAGGAACAAAGUCCUGGUGUGGAAUCACUGCAGUGUGCUGCAAAUGAUAUCGCAUUGCCAGAUAAUUCUGUGAAAGCUUUUAUAUGUGCUCAAUGUUUCCACUGGUUUGCUAAUAAAAAGAGUUUAACAGAAAUUAAUAGAGUUCUGGCGCCAAACGGUCUUUUAGUUCUGGUAUGGAGUCUGCCUGAUGGAAAUGUGCCAUGGGUCAGAGAACUACUCACGCUACUUACAAAUAAUAUGAAAGGGAAUCAACCAGCUAACCUGUUUAAUGGUACGUGGAGUGAUGUUUUCAAAGAAUUUAAUAAUUUCAAACUGAUUGAAGACAAAAAGUUAGACGAUGACUCAGUUGGGGGAACCGUAAAAUAUUUGGUGGAUAUGUUUUCAACAUACAGCUUUAUAAAGUCCAUGGAAACAGAUGAGAAUUCGAGAGUUCUCUCGGAAAUUGGACACUUAAUAGAAAAAUAUCACCCGACCAGUUCUUAUGUUAAUUUUCCUAAUUACUUUCACGUGGU